Mus musculus (house mouse) is the source of this 1098-nucleotide long non-coding RNA. RefSeq annotates it as predicted gene, 41832. The transcript has 5 exons. The record is from RefSeq and is a predicted model, not a curated record. NCBI's taxonomy places the organism in Eukaryota, Metazoa, Chordata, Mammalia, Rodentia, Muridae.
UGGGAGAUCCCAGAACCUCUCAGAGAAGAACGGAGAAAACGUGAAACUUGAGCCAGGCGGGCGGGCAACAGUGCAAGCUACGCAGGCAUGCUUAACUGUUUAAGGAUACUCUUCCUGUGUGACAAGGCUCAGGGGCCCCUAACUCUGAGAAACCAGAGGAUGCUGAGAUGUUUGGAACACAGAGCUGUGUGUCAUCCGGGAGGAAAUCAGAAGAGGAGCAACAAGGAUUUGAAAGACAAAAGUGAAAAACAGUUUUCCGGGAUGCUGGACCCAGUGGUGGACCACAGUAGCAAGCAAGGAUGACUUGAGGAAGCAGACACAGGUGGAAAGCAGACUGGGAAGACAGACAGCCAGAUGCAGUCUCUGGCUCCUGCGUGACCACAGUAUAAGGUUCCUGCCUCGAGAUCCUGCCCUGACUUCCUUGCAGCUGAUGGACCUCAAUUAGUCUAAACUAUGAACCGUCCCGCCUGUUCGUCAGUUUGCAAUGGGGAAUUCUAACGCUUCAGGACCUAAAUUACUGCCGUGCAACUUCCACAUUGCCUCCACUAGGAAGACUCAUCUGCUUCUGCUACAAGAAGAAAUAUAUAGUCACCAACCCAAAAAUUAACCUCGAAGAGUAGAAGACAAGAGAAGCACAGAGGUCGUGGAGAUUGAUGAGAGAAGAGUGUAUUGUGCAGCCACUUCCCUGAUGAAUGAAAGGACACAGAGUUUUCAGGGCUACAGUAUCUGCUGUGAAGAUGAAUAAUUAGAAAUCAAGGCGUUCUGGUUGGAUUUUUGUCAACUUGGCACGAGCCAGGGUCAUCUGUGAAGAAGGAAUUUCAAUUGAGAAAUGCCUGCAUCAAAUUGGCCUGAUGGUUCCUGCUUUGAGCUUCUGCCCUGACUUCCCUAAGUGCUGGACUGACCUGAGAGCUGUAAAAUGAAAGAACACCUAUUGUCCUUGGUUGUCUUCAGCCAUUGCAUCUGUCACAGUAAUGGAAGGCAAAGCAGGGCACAUGGCCAUCCUUGUGUUUAUUGUUCCUCACACACACCCUGGCCCUUCCACUCUCCCGCCCUGUAGCUCUGAACCAAAAAAUACCCCAUGACCUAAGUAAACUUGUU